GGCCGGGUAGCUCAGGUGGUUAGAGCAUUGUCCUGAUAUGCCAAAGCUGCAGGUUCAAUCCCCUGGUCA
RNAcentral lists this transfer RNA (69 nucleotides) under Myotis davidii. It matches the Rfam family "tRNA". Rfam says of the family: Transfer RNA (tRNA) molecules are approximately 80 nucleotides in length. Their secondary structure includes four short double-helical elements and three loops (D, anti-codon, and T loops). Lineage: Eukaryota; Metazoa; Chordata; Mammalia; Chiroptera; Vespertilionidae. The record is from Rfam by way of RNAcentral.